CGCAUGCCCUCCAGCGCCAGUUCCCUCUGGGUUUGUUUGAGGGAAGGUGGGGGUGGCCCCGGUCACUGCGGAAGAAAGGGGGGCCUGAAUGGCCGCAUGGAUGGGGCUUUUGAGGGUUUCUACCUGUCCCGCCUCGCCCAUUUGUGCAAAAUCCAGUCCCCACGCUCUUCAACCGGCAGAAGGCUCAGCUGGCAAACGCACGGGCUACAAAUGCAGCGGCACAUUCACAGUCACGGAAGGUGCCGGUGCUGCUGGGAUUUGGAGCAAACAUUUAUUUUCACCCACUGUCUCCUCCGUGCCCACCUCGCACCAGGGAGUCCACGUUGAAAGGAAUUGGGAUUCGGAUCCUGCCGACCAGGGAGCGAAGAAAGCACACUCCUGCCUUCCCCUCCCCUCGCCUCGCCUCGCCUCGCCUCGCCUCGCCUCGCCUCGGGGAUGCACAAAAGAUUGCCUCUCCAAGGCCUUUCAAGCACAGAGCAGCCUGCUCUUGUGGCAUCUCUUAGAUAGUUCUCCGUUGCCGCUGCUGAUAGGUUUACUUACCGGUAUUAAUAUCAUCCCGCGUGGCUCCGUAAGUAAACUGAAUAGGACACUGAAUUCUCUACCUAACCAUAGCCACCUUUCAGAAGAUUGACAACAAGUGAUUUAAUUUGGUGGAUGUGCUCCAGACCCACCUUGGUUCAUCGUGAACGUGCCUAUAUAGACAUGAUUGCGGCCUGAAAGGCGGAGGAGUCAUUCUCAACCCUGUCAGGCCCAUCAUCCCCUUUUCUAGCUACUAGUGUUUUAAAUACUCCCCUGACUAUCAUGAAAUGCAAUUCAUAAAUAAUGUUACCUACCUAUGAUUUCAAAAAAAUCAAUAUAAUGUCCUAAUUGUA
This is a long non-coding RNA of Myotis daubentonii (Daubenton's bat), 872 nucleotides long. RefSeq lists it as uncharacterized. NCBI's taxonomy places the organism in Eukaryota, Metazoa, Chordata, Mammalia, Chiroptera, Vespertilionidae. The record is from RefSeq and is a predicted model, not a curated record.